CGCCACUUCCCGCCCGCUGCUUCCUUGGCCGCCACUCGCGUCCUCGACCCGCCGCCUCCUGCCGUUCACCAUCACGCACGCAGCUCAACCCCGACGGCCGCUGCUCCCUUCUAUAUGGCUGCGUGGCGCCCUACUCCUUCCAGGCCUCCAGACGCGAGCGCCGUCAUGGACGUCCUCGUUUGCCCUGGCCGCUCGCGCGCCCGUCAAGUUCUGCAUCUUCCUCGUCGGACACGUCCGUCACCGGCGUGGUGCAUGCAUCCUUUGGCCUUCGGCUGGUUCAACACAACGAGCGCCGCAUCCUGGACGCCGCUCGACUCUCCUUGGAUCUGGUCGCCGGCACAACUCCGGCCGUGUGUCCGUCCAUCAACAGCGCAUGCCUGACGCCACGUCCGCCAGCCCCGCACCCUGCUGCGGCCUCCCUCGAUCUUCCUCCGAUGCGAGCCGGUGCCCCUCCGCCUGUCCGGCAAUGAAACCCGGUGCAGCGGCCAUCAGCCUCCGCCGUCUACCUCGCCGCCGGCGUUUUCUCCACCUCGUCGAGCACCACCAGGCAUCUGCUUCUUCCCGGAUAGGAUCGCGAAGUGGUGUUGUGAGAUACGACAAGUUCUUCUACAGCUUUUCACA
Molecule: non-coding RNA, 621 nt
Organism: Lolium perenne
Lineage: Eukaryota; Viridiplantae; Streptophyta; Magnoliopsida; Poales; Poaceae
Source: RefSeq, a predicted model, not a curated record